Molecule: ribosomal RNA, 730 nt
Filed under: Sphingobacterium sp. RS.Sph.007
Lineage: Bacteria; Pseudomonadati; Bacteroidota; Sphingobacteriia; Sphingobacteriales; Sphingobacteriaceae
Description: bacterial SSU rRNA
Rfam family: Bacterial small subunit ribosomal RNA
Source: RNAcentral
CAUUCACUUCGGUGAGAUGGCGACCGGCGCACGGGUGCGUAACGCGUAUGCAAUUUACCCAUUACUGGGGGAUAGCCCGGGGAAACCCGGAUUAAUACCUCAUAGUAUUAUUUGAUGGCAUCUGAAGAUAAUUAAAGAUUUAUCGGUAAUGGAUGAGCAUGCGUCUGAUUAGUUAGUUGGUGAGGUAACGGCUCACCAAGACGAUGAUCAGUAGGGGGUCUGAGAGGAUGAUCCCCCACACUGGAACUGAGACACGGUCCAGACUCCUACGGGAGGCAGCAGUAGGGAAUAUUGGUCAAUGGGCGAGAGCCUGAACCAGCCAUGCCGCGUGCAGGAUGACGGCCUUCUGGGUUGUAAACUGCUUUUCUACAGGAAGAAAAAGCCCUUGCGAGGGAAAUUGCCGGUAUUGUAGGAAUAAGCACCGGCUAACUCCGUGCCAGCAGCCGCGGUAAUACGGAGGGUGCAAGCGUUGUCCGGAUUUAUUGGGUUUAAAGGGUGCGUAGGCGGAAGAUUAAGUCAGUGGUGAAAGCCCACAGCUCAACUGUGGAACUGCCAUUGAUACUGGUUUUCUUGAAUUCAGUUAAGGUAGGCCGGAAUUGAUGGUGUAGCGGUGAAAUGCAUAGAUACCAUCAGGGAACACCGAUUGCGAAGGCAGCUUACUGGGCUUGAAUUGACGCUGAGCACGAAAGCGUGGGGAGCGAACAGGAUUAGAUACCUGGUAGUCCCCCCC